RNAcentral lists this non-coding RNA (23 nucleotides) under Rattus norvegicus (Norway rat). Lineage: Eukaryota; Metazoa; Chordata; Mammalia; Rodentia; Muridae. The record is from RNAcentral.
CUUACCCCUGCAUACUUUCUGUC